This 254-nucleotide ribosomal RNA is filed under the name uncultured bacterium. RNAcentral describes it as "partial 16S ribosomal RNA". It matches the Rfam family "Bacterial small subunit ribosomal RNA", at positions 524 to 776 of the family's 1533-position model. The record is from RNAcentral.
UACGUAGGGCGCAAGCGUUGUCCGGAAUUAUUGGGCGUAAAGAGCUCGUAGGCGGCUUGUCACGUCGGUUGUGAAAGCCCGGGGCUUAACCCCGGGUCUGCAGUCGAUACGGGCAGGCGUAGAGUGUGGUAGGGGAGAUCGGAAUUCCUGGUGUAGCGGUGAAAUGCGCAGAUAUCAGGAGGAACACCGGUGGCGAAGGCGGAUCUCUGGGCCAUUACUGACGCUGAGGAGCGAAAGCGUGGGGAGCGAACAGG